This 30-nucleotide ribosomal RNA is filed under the name Metarhizium majus. RNAcentral's name for it is "partial 18S ribosomal RNA". The record is from RNAcentral. Lineage: Eukaryota; Fungi; Ascomycota; Sordariomycetes; Hypocreales; Clavicipitaceae.
CGUUGGUGAACCAGCGGAGGGAUCAUUACC